UACGUAUGGUGCAAGCGUUAUCCGGAUUUACUGGGUGUAUAGGGAGCGCAGGCGGCACGGCAAGCCUGAUGUGAAAGCCCGCGGCCCAACCGCGGGACUGCAUUGGGAACUACCGGGCUGGAGUGCCGGAGAGGUAGGCGGAAUUCCUAGUGUAGCGGUGAGAUGCGUAGAUAUUAGGAGGAACACCAGUGGCGAAGGCGGCCUACUGGACGGUGACUGACGCUGAGGCUCGAAAGCGUGGGGAGCAAACAGG
Molecule: ribosomal RNA, 253 nt
Filed under: uncultured bacterium
Lineage: Bacteria
Description: partial 16S ribosomal RNA
Rfam family: Bacterial small subunit ribosomal RNA
Source: RNAcentral